Salmo salar (Atlantic salmon) is the source of this 996-nucleotide non-coding RNA. NCBI's taxonomy places the organism in Eukaryota, Metazoa, Chordata, Actinopteri, Salmoniformes, Salmonidae. The record is from RefSeq and is a predicted model, not a curated record.
UGUACAUGUCACUGGAGCGAGCAUAGCCCGGGCUGUGUAAGCAGGUAUCCGUGUCAUCAACUGAGUUGGCCCCCAAAGUUUUGUCACUGUGGCUCCCAUCAGGCUUUGAGGUUAUCUUGGGGUCUGUCUUGUCUGCCGAACUACGGAUGGAGAGAUUGGAGAUACUUCCGAACCACUUGAGACCUGGGGAGAGAGCGCGAGAUUUCCUUACUUUAUCCACUGUUGCCAUGGCUCAUUUGAUAUUCUGAUACAUUGGUGUUCUAUGUGGGCAGACUGACAUUCCAAUUCAAUGGCACCUGACGUCAUUCCCUGGUAACAACGUGUGUUGUGGAUGCUAGGAGUGGGAGAAGGUCCAGGACAAUGGCGGCUCAUCAAUACAAGGUCCGAUGCCAUGAAUAAAUGGUUGGCGACAACGCAACGUUAAUCGAGGGCUUGAAAAAAACAAUUGACCAUGCAUGCAUGGAAAUCAAGGAUGUUAAGAAGGUCACCCACAUCGAAAGCGUGUUCGAAAAAGAGGAGGGAAAGAUGGACUUGCGCCAAAGAAGAAUCGCAGAACUCGAAAGUUACUCCAGACGGUGGAAUCUGAGACUGUAUGGAGUUCCCGAGGCAGAUGGGGAGAACGUGCGGCAAGAGACCAUCAAAGUCUGCCAGGCUAUCCUACCUGAGGAGAAGGCUAAGCUAGCAGAUGUUGUCGACAUUGUAUAUUGCCUUGGCACGAGAAGGCAGGGUGACUCCAAGCCCAGAGGUGUCAUUCUCCAGUUCACAUCACAGAUCUACAGGGAUGCCACUUGGAAAGCAGCAAAGUAAUCUACCUUCUCAAAAAAGACUGCAAAACAUUAGCCUCUAUAUUUAAAAAAAAAUGAAGGCAGUAUUGGACUCAAUUAUAGAAGAGACCCAAUCUGGCUUCAUGAGAAAUAGACAUCUAGUACCAGUCAAAUGUUUGGAUACACCUACUCAUUCAAGGGGUUUUCUUUAUUGGUAUACCUCCAGGCUGUG